UUCCAGCUCCAAUAGCGUAUAUUAAAUUUGCUGCAGUUAAAAAGCUCGUAGUUGGAUUUCUGGCGUGGUGCGUCUGGUCGCGCGGGGGGCAACCCCUGUGAUUGGUACCGGGAAGCGCGCCUGCCAUCAGGCGGGUUUUUGUGUUGUUCGCAAGAAUAGCAUGGAAAGAAGCGGGCAGGCCAGGUUCCGUGGCUCUCCGGAGCGGCGGCGUGGUGGCUCGUGUUUCCGCCCAUUUACUUUGAGCAAAUUA
Molecule: ribosomal RNA, 250 nt
Filed under: uncultured archaeon
Lineage: Archaea
Description: partial 16S ribosomal RNA
Rfam family: Eukaryotic small subunit ribosomal RNA
Source: RNAcentral